CCGCGAUGGCAGAUGAUCGCUCCGGAGCAAUCCGGAGAGGAAAGUCCGAACACCAGACGGCAGCAUGCCGCGCAGAACGCGCGGGCGCUUUUCGCGAAAGCGAUAAGCGACGGAGAGUGUCACAGAAAAUAUACCGCCUAACGAGUGCCGCAGGGCAUCCGAAAGGUAAGGGUGAAAAGGCGAGGUAAGAGCUCACCGCUCGUUGCGCAAGCGGCGAGGCAGGAAAAACCCCAUGCGGUGCAAGACAAAACAGAGGAAGGGCAGCCGGUCCGUUAAACCCUCGGGUAUCGUCGCAUCACGCGGCCAUGUGGCGCCGGUCUCUGACCGGCGAUGGCGUGACCGCGGGCGUUCGCCACGGCGAAUGAGAUAAAUGAUCAUCGCCCCAAAGAAAUUCGGGACACAGAAUUCGGCUUAUCGCCAUCGCAACGAA
This 430-nucleotide RNase P RNA is filed under the name Chthoniobacterales bacterium. RNAcentral describes it as "RNase P RNA component class A". It matches the Rfam family "Bacterial RNase P class A". From Rfam's summary of the family: Ribonuclease P (RNase P) is a ubiquitous endoribonuclease, found in archaea, bacteria and eukarya as well as chloroplasts and mitochondria. Its best characterised activity is the generation of mature 5'-ends of tRNAs by cleaving the 5'-leader elements of precursor-tRNAs. Cellular RNase Ps are ribonucleoproteins. Lineage: Bacteria; Pseudomonadati; Verrucomicrobiota; Spartobacteria; Chthoniobacterales. The record is from RNAcentral.